This is a long non-coding RNA of Helianthus annuus (common sunflower), 1058 nucleotides long. RefSeq lists it as uncharacterized. The transcript is spliced from 3 exons. Lineage: Eukaryota; Viridiplantae; Streptophyta; Magnoliopsida; Asterales; Asteraceae. The record is from RefSeq and is a predicted model, not a curated record.
CACAACCUCAUCUGUUCUUUCUUCUCCUUCAUUCUUUUCUUAAGAGAAAACCCUAAAUCCCCUUUUUACUCAAACAAUCAGCCACAACCUUCAUAUCCUCUUCAAAACACACAACAACAAUGGUUGCUCUCACACACAGAGCUUCAUCUACUCCCUACUCUCACUCUACUCUCUCUCUCUCUGAUCAAACGGUCGGCCACCGUUCGGUGGUGGCGGCGCUCAAACACAGCGACAGCAGCCGAGACAUACGACGAUGGGGGUGGGGGUGUAUGGUGGGGUUGGGUGGCGUCGUAAGGCGGAGAAGGAGCGGCUGCCCCGACAAACCUCCGACCGGCCCGACAGAGCCGAUGAUGAAGAUGUUAUGUUGCUGUUGAUGAUAAUGAUGGUGAUGUUGUUGUUAAUGACGAUGACGAUGUUGAAUUCAAAUUCCGGUAGCCGCAAGAACACUCAGGUUAGCCGAUUUUUUUUUCUGUUAUUUGUUCUUUUUUUCCUUCGGUUCUAUAGAGUGAUAACAUGGUUCUCUUGCAUUUUGGUUUUGGGUUUUUGCGUGGUGUCGUCUCAAGUGGGUUCUCACGAAGACUGGCAAGCGAAGAUGAAUUGUUGAUUAUUGAUGUUAAUGGCUGAUGGUGGAUGUUGUCGAGGAUCAACUUGAGUUAUGUUUCGGGUUACAGAACUCCGGUUCGGUUGAUGGUUCGGGUUCCGGUUCAGCAAGUUCGAGUUUUGUUUUGAUUCGAGUGUUACCAGAGAUCAAUCGUGCUUUAGUUCUCUGGAAUAUUUUGUUUUCAGCUACGUUUCGGGUCAAACCCGUUUAACUUAGUCAACCCCCGAGUCAACUCGGGUCAACAACGGUCAAACAUGUCAAACUCAGUCAACUCAAAGAACCGGAAUGUCAUAGGUGCACGCUAGCUAAUUCACUUUCUUGGAACGACACUCCGGAAUCACGCUAAGCUAGCUUUGCACAGGAACAUCAAGGUGAGUUCAUAACCCCCACUUUUUACUGUUUUACAUUUUUAUAAAUGUUUUCGGGGGUGGAAAGACAUGCAAAUUUUUGCAAAAGC